Molecule: ribosomal RNA, 460 nt
Filed under: uncultured bacterium
Lineage: Bacteria
Description: partial 16S ribosomal RNA
Rfam family: Bacterial small subunit ribosomal RNA
Source: RNAcentral
CCUACGGGAGGCUGCAGUGAGGAAUAUUGGUCAAUGGGCGCGAGCCUGAACCAGCCAAGUCGCGUGAGGGAGGACGGCCCUACGGGUUGUAAACCUCUUUUGCCGGGGAGCAACGGGCGCCACGUGUGGCGUCACUGAGAGUACCCGGAGAAAAAGCAUCGGCUAACUCCGUUCCAACAGCCGCGGUAAUAGGGAGGAUGCGAGCGUUAUCCGUAUUUAUUGGGUUUAAAGGGUGCGUGGGCGGAGCGUUAAGUCAGUGGUAAAAUUGAGGGGAUCAACCCCUUCCCGCCAUUGAAACUGGCGUUCUUGAGUGGAAGAGAAGUAUGCGGAAUGCGUGGUGUAGCGGUGAAAUGCAUAGAUAUCACGCAGAACCCCGAUUGCGAAGGCAGCAUGCCGGCUUCCGACUGACGCUGAAGCACGAAAGCGUGGGGAGCGAACAGGAUUAGAUACCCUGGUAGUC